Choloepus didactylus (southern two-toed sloth) is the source of this 307-nucleotide long non-coding RNA. RefSeq lists it as uncharacterized. The record is from RefSeq and is a predicted model, not a curated record. Lineage: Eukaryota; Metazoa; Chordata; Mammalia; Pilosa; Megalonychidae. The transcript is spliced from 3 exons.
CCCAGUCUGCACUCCGCUGCGUGGUCACCAAGGCACUUUACCUCUCCGAGCCAGUUUCCAUAUCAAAAUGGUGAUACCUCGCAGUUUGCGGAUAUUGAGAUGAUUAAAGGAGAUAAUGCGCACGUAAGGCUAUUAACUCAAUUUCUGGAAUGAAGCAGUGGAAGAGAGCAUGCUUUUAAAGUCAGAAGACCUGGGUUCAAGCCUUUGCCUGACACGUACUGACUGAGAACUUUUAGGUGACCUUGUCUACUUCUAUGGAUUUGACAGCCACCUGGAUGUUGGAGACUCUCAAGUCUAAGUAUGCAGC